UGAUCGGUUCAUGCCGGCAUAUGAUAUGUUCCGCCUAAAAUUAAAUAAAAGCUCGGACGAGAUGAGCAGCGUCAUCGUGCCUAUGCGUGUGUGUGUGACCAACAAAUAUGUAUACCAGUAUGUCGUGUCUUCGUCGCUGUGUUUUCUCUCUCGAGAAAAAGUUGGUGUUGCUUGUUGUUCAGCUAUCCGGAAUAUCCUCCGUGAAUAAACACCUGUAGUGAUUGUGCGUGGCUGCCAAUAAUGUGAGUUCUCUUGUCCACGCAGUUACAUGUUUCCCGUUGUAUUUAUAUACUCUCCGAUAUGAUAUUUGUUGACGUGUUAAGCAGUAUCUUACUAGAUGCUUAGCUUAUUUUAUUUUGCCAGAAAAACUUUCAAUCUAUUCAUCAAACGUCACGGUAGUUCUAGCUUAGUUAUCACAUACUCACACGAACUGAUGGGCAGCUAUUUGAAAUUUACCUUACUAGUGUUUGGCACAUACAAUAACUAUCCUAUGCACUCCUUUUCCAUCUUACUACGGGCAUGCCACACCUUUCAUCCUGACAAAUAUUUUCGGAUGUUUCUAGACGGGAUAAGAAAUGUGUCUGCAAUCACACGUCUGACAAUUUUGUGUGCCUGUAUAAGAAGUAUGAUACAAACCAAACUUGUUGUUCAAAGAAGUUCUUGUAACGUAAUCUCAAAACAUCUAUGUUUGCUCGGUUCAACUUGAAUGCAAAUGGUAAAAGUUUCCAUAUUUGAUCUCAGUUUUUUCCUAAAGCAUAAUCAUGCUUCGAGGAACGGUUGUUCAGCAUAAGAUAGUUUUGAAAAAUGACAACAGAAUUCAUAAAAGCGGCCUCAUGGGAAUGUUAUAUUGUUGUACAAUGAGAUCAUGCAAUUAAGAAUUCUUCGUAACCUAUGAUAAUAUAUGUCGUGCAAAAGUCUUAUCCCAGGAGGAUUGCAACGAUGCCUUCAAUGGCACCAGUGUCAACUCUUGCCAUUACGCUUCCUUGCAAAGGAAGCGAUCGGCCAGGAUGUUUGAGUCAACUUUAUUAUUUUUCUUGUUUUGUUUCUUUACGCAUUUAUAGGCACUAGCUAGAGUACAUAAUAACCACUUGCAUUUCCAAAUGAUGAUGACGAUGAUGAUGAUGAUGAUGACGAUGAUGAUGAUGAUGAUGAUGAUGAUGAUGAUGAUGAUGAUAAUAAUAAUAAUAAUAAUAAUAAUAAUAAUAAUAAUAAUAAUAAUAAUAAUAAUAAUAAUAAUAAUUUCUGAGCCCAGGCUCAUCUGCACUCGGUCAAGAAACAAUUCACAAAAUAUAUAAAAAUUAAAAAAAAUCAUUUUUUUGCAUGGUAAAUAAUUUGGUGCAGGAGGUGCGCUUCAAAUUUCAGUUCAUUUCGACAUAUGUGUAGCUCUGAGAAAAAGAGACAAAUUGGGUCACAACAAUACAUGAACAAUAAACUUUUUUUAUAGACCCCAAAUUUGUCUUUUUCCCCGAGAGCUACACAGAUGUUCAAAUGAUCUGAAAUUUGGAGCGCACCUCACGCACGAAAUUAUCUACCAUGCAAAAAAAAAUAUUUUUUGAAUUUUUGUAGUAUUUGUUUUGAAUUUUUCUUCUUCUUUAUCUUAGGUGCAUAUGAGCCCGGGCACCGAAUUGCUGCUCUCAAUAAUAAUAAUAAUAAUAAUAAUAAUAAUAAUAAUAAUAAAGGAAAUAAUAAUAAUAAUAAUAAUAAUAAUAAUAAUAAUAAUAAUAAUAAUAAUAAGCACUUGCCUAUCCUUACUAGCUAGUAACAUCGCUUCUAAUCUUUCACAAGAGAUAAUUAAAAUACAAUGAAGAGAUUAGUAAAUAUCACUUGUGUUCUUCCUGCAAAUGAAAUAACGGUGUUCACAAUUAUGCGGGUGUAAUUACAUUUCUUCGCAAUACCUAGUUUGAAUAACAAUUCCAACAGAAAAUGGGAUUAGUUAGUUUUUAUGUAUACACUAAAAAGACGUGCACAAUUGUAUUUCAAAAAAUAAGCAACAAAAAAAAAA
This 2002-nucleotide long non-coding RNA is filed under the name Triticum aestivum (bread wheat). RNAcentral describes it as "long non-coding RNA (TAES_LNC007460)". Lineage: Eukaryota; Viridiplantae; Streptophyta; Magnoliopsida; Poales; Poaceae. The record is from RNAcentral.